AUACGGAGGAUCCGAGCGUUAUCCGGAUUUAUUGGGUUUAAAGGGUGCGUAGGCGGAUGAUUAAGCGUGAGGUGAAAUGCCACUGCUCAACAGUGGAACUGCCUCGCGAACUGGUUGUCUUGAAUGCUCCUGCCGUGGGAGGAAUGUGUGGUGUAGCGGUGAAAUGCAUAGAGAUCACACAGAACACCGAUUGCGAAGGCAUCUCACGAAGGGGUGAUUGUCGCUGAGGCACGAAAGCGUGGGGAUCAAACAGGAUUAGAUACCCUGGUAGUCCACGCAGUAAACGAUGAUAACUAACCGCUGGGUCGUAGUGAUUCAGUGGCCAAGCGAAAGCGAUAAGUUAUCCACCUGGGGAGUACGACCGCAAGGUUGAAACUCAAAGGAAUUGACGGGG
Molecule: ribosomal RNA, 394 nt
Filed under: uncultured bacterium
Lineage: Bacteria
Description: partial 16S ribosomal RNA
Rfam family: Bacterial small subunit ribosomal RNA
Source: RNAcentral